GUGGGGAAUAUUGGACAAUGGGCGAAAGCCUGAUCCAGCAACGCCGCGUGAGGGAUGACGGCCUUCGGGUUGUAAACCUCUUUCAGCGGGGACGAAGUUUUGUCUUUUUGGGCGAAGUGACGGUACCCGCAGAAGAAGCACCGGCCAACUACGUGCCAGCAGCCGCGGUAAUACGUAGGGUGCGAGCGUUGUCCGGAAUUAUUGGGCGUAAAGGGCUCGUAGGCGGUUUGUCACGUCGGGAGUGAAAACUCGGGGCUCAACCCCGAGCCUGCUUCCGAUACGGGCUGACUAGAGGUAUGCAGGGGAGAACGGAAUUCCUGGUGUAGCGGUGAAAUGCGCAGAUAUCAGGAGGAACACCGGUGGCGAAGGCGGUUCUCUGGGCAUUACCUGACGCUGAGGAGCGAAAGUGUGGGGAGCGAACAGGAUUAGAAACCCGUGUAGUCC
Molecule: ribosomal RNA, 444 nt
Filed under: uncultured bacterium
Lineage: Bacteria
Description: bacterial SSU rRNA
Rfam family: Bacterial small subunit ribosomal RNA
Source: RNAcentral